RNAcentral lists this ribosomal RNA (253 nucleotides) under uncultured bacterium. RNAcentral's name for it is "partial 16S ribosomal RNA". It matches the Rfam family "Bacterial small subunit ribosomal RNA", at positions 524 to 776 of the family's 1533-position model. The record is from RNAcentral.
UACGGAGGGUGCAAGCGUUGUUCGGAAUCAUUGGGCGUAAAGCGCGUGUAGGCGGCCUGGUAAGUCGGGUGUGAAAUCCCGGGGCCCAACCCCGGAACUGCAUUCGAAACUGCCUCGCUAGAGUCCCGGAGAGGAAGGCGGAAUUCCCGGUGUAGAGGUGAAAUUCGUAGAUAUCGGGAGGAACACCAGCGGCGAAGGCGGCCUUCUGGACGGUGACUGACGCUGAGACGCGAAAGCGUGGGGAGCAAACAGG